This 1091-nucleotide ribosomal RNA is filed under the name Condylostoma sp. RNAcentral's name for it is "partial large subunit ribosomal RNA". It matches the Rfam family "Eukaryotic large subunit ribosomal RNA", at positions 49 to 1279 of the family's 3401-position model. The record is from RNAcentral. Lineage: Eukaryota; Ciliophora; Heterotrichea; Heterotrichida; Condylostomatidae.
AGCGGAGGAAAAGAAACUAACCAGGAUUGCCUUAGUAACGGCGAGUGAAACGGCAAAAGCCCACACUGAAAAUCGCUUCGGCGAAUUGUACAGUGAAGACGUUAUUCUUACCUGAUCAUGCUCGUGUAACUCGGCUGGAACGCCGGACCAGAGAGGGUGCAAGUCCCGUGCCGCGAGCGUGAGAAGGAUAGAGUUCGUUCUAAGAGUCGGGUAGUUUGGGAAUGCUGCCCUAAUUGGGAGGUAGACUCCUUCUAAGGCUAAAUAACGACGAGAGACCGAUAGUGGACAAGUACUGUGAAGGAAAGAUGAAAAGAACUUUGGAAAGAGAGUUAAAAGACUUGAAAUCGUUGAGGAGGAAGCAGUGCGCCUGACACAGCCUCUUACAAAACUGUACCACGGUGCAGGGGGAGUAGGUGGUGGAGUCUGCUGUCUGGGAGGUUCGCCGUAGUGUUUACUGUUAGUGCUCACGGAAAGCGAACCGAUCGGUAGUAGGCGUUGGGUGCACUGGCCCGUCUUGAAACACGGACCAAGGAGUCCAGCCUAUGUGCAAGUAGAGGGGCUUAACCCCAGAUGCGCAACGAAAGUAAUCUCUGGCUCAGCAGAGGCCGCAAUAGCGAGCUCAGCAGAUAGGCUGGGACCCGAAAGAUGGUGAACUAUGCUUGGGGAAGGCGAAGCCAGGGGAAACCCUGGUGGAGGCUUGUAGAGGUUCUGACGUGCAAAUCGAUCUUCUGACCUGAGUAUAGGGGCGAAAGACUUAUCGAACCAUCUAGUAGCUGGUUCCCUCCGAAAUUUCCCUCAGGAUAGCAGGAGCUGUGCAGUUUUACCAGGUAAAGCGAAUGAUUAGAGGUUCGGGGGAUGAAACAUCCUUCACCUAUUCUCAAACUUUAAAUUGGUAAGGUGAUUGAGUUACUUCAGUGAACUUUUUCUUGAAUGCUUGCUCCAAGUGGGCCAUUUUUGGUAAGCAGAACUGGCAACGAGGGCUCAACCUAAGGCGAUGUUGAGGCGACCAAUUGACUGCUCACAGAUGGAAAGGUGUUGGUUCAUUUAGACAGUAGGACGGUGGCCAUGGAAGUCGGAACCCGCUAAGGAGU